CCUCAGCAAUCCUGCGUUAGUAUGACUAUGGGCUUGGCUGCUGGAGUUUUAAUAGUGUUGUGUGACCUGAUGUAAGACUCUGUCGGAGUACUGCUGGCCUUCAAUAUCUCCUCAUCUCAAACAACGCUGGAAAUGAGUUGUACUUCA
RNAcentral lists this long non-coding RNA (147 nucleotides) under Anser brachyrhynchus (Pink-footed goose). RNAcentral describes it as "lncRNA (ENSABRG00000021301.1)". The record is from RNAcentral. Lineage: Eukaryota; Metazoa; Chordata; Aves; Anseriformes; Anatidae.